This 2874-nucleotide ribosomal RNA is filed under the name Prochlorococcus sp. AG-335-A05. Its description in RNAcentral is "bacterial LSU rRNA". It matches the Rfam family "Bacterial large subunit ribosomal RNA". The record is from RNAcentral. Lineage: Bacteria; Bacillati; Cyanobacteriota; Cyanophyceae; Synechococcales; Prochlorococcaceae.
UCAAGCUACAAAGGGCUCACGGAGGAUACCUAGGCACACAGAGGCGAUGAAGGACGUGGUUACCUGCGAUAAGUCUCGGGGAGUUGGAAGCACACUUUGAUCCGGGAAUUUCCGAAUGGGGCAACCCCUUGAACGACCAACUGAAUAUAUAGGUUGGUGCGAGCUAACCCAGCGAACUGAAACAUCUUAGUAGCUGGAGGAAGAGAAAGUAAAUAACGACUCCCUCAGUAGCGGCGAGCGAACGGGGAAUAGCCCAAACCGAUAGUCUUGACUAUCGGGGUUGUGGGACAGCAAUAUGGAUCAACAAUUCUAGAAGAAACGUUUGAAUGGCGUGCCAUAGAGGGUGAAAGCCCCGUAAUUGAAAGAUGAGUUGACCUAGCUGUAUCCCGAGUAGCACGGAGCACGUGGAAUUCCGUGUGAAUCUGCGAGGACCACCUCGUAAGGCUAAGUACUACUGUGUGACCGAUAGUGAAACAGUACCGCGAGGGAAAGGUGAAAAGAACCCCGGGAGGGGAGUGAAAUAGAACAUGAAACCGUGAGCUUACAAGCAAUGGGAGCCCGACUAAUCGGGUGACCGUGUGCCUGUUGAAGAAUGAGCCGGCGACUUAUAGGCACUGGCGGGUUAAACCGGAAAUGGUGGAGCCACAGCGAAAGCGAGUCUUAAUAGGGCGUUUGUCAGUGUUUAUAGACCCGAACCCUGGUGAUCUAACCAUGGCCAGGAUGAAGCUUGGGUGAUACCAAGUGGAGGUCCGAACCGACUGAAGUUGAAAAUUCAGCGGAUGAGCUGUGGUUAGGGGUGAAAUGCCAAUCGAACCAGGAGCUAGCUGGUUCUCCCCGAAAUACGUUGAGGCGUAGCGUCUAGUGCUCCAGCAGGGGGGUAAAGCAACCAUUUCGGUGCGGGCUGCGAAAGCGGUACCUAAUCGAUAUGAACUCUGAAUACCCUGUGUGUAACUAGGCAGUCAGACUGUGGGGGAUAAGCUCCAUAGUCAAGAGGGAAACAGCCCAGACCGCCAGCUAAGGUCCCAAAAUUAACGCUAAGUGAUAAAGGAGGUGGGAUUGCCCAGACAACCAGGAGGUUUGCCUAGAAGCAGCCAUCCUCAAAGGAGUGCGUAAUAGCUCACUGGUCGAGCGAUCCUGCGCCGAAAAUGAAUGGGGCUAAGCGUUAUACCGAAGCUGCGGAUAAAUUUAUUUAUGGUAGGGGAGCGUUCUAUGUUGGGUGAAGCGUUAGCGUAAGCGGACGUGGACGGCAUAGAAGUGAGAAUGUCGGCUUGAGUAGCGAAAACAUGGGUGAGAAUCCCAUGCCCCGAAACCCUAAGGGUUCCUCCGGCAGGCUCGUCCGCGGAGGGUUAGUCUGGACCUAAGGCGAGGCCGAAAGGCGUAGUCGAUGGAUAACAGGUCAAUAUUCCUGUACCAGUUAUGUUUUGGGAAGGGGGACGGAGAAGGCUAGCCAGGCCAGAUGUUGGUUACUGGUUCAAGCGUUCAAGGCUUUGAGAGAUGGAGAAAACAUCUUGAGCUAAGGCGUGAGUACGAGCUGCUACGGCAGCGAAGUUGGUGAUGUCAUGCUUCCAAGAAAAGCCCUAUACCCGUUAAGACAUAAAUGCCAGUACCCGAAACCGACACAGGUGGGGUGGUAGAGAAUACCGAGGGGCGCGAGAUAACUCUCUCUAAGGAACUCGGCAAAAUGGCCCCGUAACUUCGGGAGAAGGGGUGCCAGCGAGAGCUGGUCGCAGUGAAGAGGCGCAAGCGACUGUUUACCAAAAACACAGGUCUCCGCUAAGUCGCAAGACGAUGUAUGGGGGCUGACACCUGCCCAGUGCCGGAAGGUUAAGGAAGCUGGUUAGCUUUUAGCAAAGCUGGCGACUGAAGCCCCGGUGAACGGCGGCCGUAACUAUAACGGUCCUAAGGUAGCGAAAUUCCUUGUCGGGUAAGUUCCGACCCGCACGAAAGGUGUAACGAUUUGCGCGCUGUCUCGGAGAGAGGCUCGGCGAAAUAGAAUUGUCUGUGAAGAUGCGGACUACAUACACCCGGACAGAAAGACCCUAUGAAGCUUUACUGUAGUUUGAUAUUGUGCUCGGGCUCUAAUUGCGCAGAAUAGGUGGGAGACGUUGAAAUAGUACUUGUGGGUAUUAUUGAGUCAUCGGUGAGAUACCACUCUAUUAGAGCUAGGGUUCUAACGCUUACCCGUUAUCCGGGGAGCGGACAGUAUCUGAUGGGCAGUUUGACUGGGGCGGUCGCCUCCUAAAAGGUAACGGAGGCGCACAAAGGUUCCCUCAGGCUGGUUGGAAAUCAGUCGUUGAGUGCAAAAGCAGAAGGGAGCUUGACUGUGAGACCUACAAGUCGAACAGGGACGAAAGUCGGUUUUAGUGAUCCGACGGUUCUGCGUGGAAGGGCCGUCGCUCAACGGAUAAAAGUUACUCUAGGGAUAACAGGCUGAUCUCCCCCAAGAGUUCACAUCGACGGGGAGGUUUGGCACCUCGAUGUCGGCUCAUCGCAACCUGGGGCUGAAGUCGGUCCCAAGGGUUGGGCUGUUCGCCCAUUAAAGCGGUACGCGAGCUGGGUUCAGAACGUCGUGAGACAGUUCGGUCCAUAUCCGGUGUAUGCGCAGGAAUAUUGAGAGGAUUUCUCCCUAGUACGAGAGGACCGGGAGGAACGCACCUCUGGUGUGCCAGUUAUCGUGCCAACGGUAAAUGCUGGGUAGCCAUGUGCGGAGUGGAUAACCGCUGAAAGCAUCUAAGUGGGAAGCCCACCUCAAGAUGAGUAUUGCCAUGGCUUAAGCCAGUAAGGUCACGGGAAGAACACCCGUUGAUAGGCUCUACGUGGAAGCUUGGUAACAAGUGCAGCGGAGGAGUACUAAUAGACCGAGGGCUUGACCAA